UACGAGGGGGGCGAGCGUUGUUCGGAAUUACUGGGCGUAAAGGGCUCGUAGGCGGCCAACUAAGUCAGACGUGAAAUCCCUCGGCUUAACCGGGGAACUGCGUCUGAUACUGGAUGGCUUGAGGUUGGGAGAGGGAUGCGGAAUUCCAGGUGUAGCGGUGAAAUGCGUAGAUAUCUGGAGGAACACCGGUGGCGAAGGCGGCAUCCUGGACCAAUUCUGACGCUGAGGAGCGAAAGCCAGGGGAGCAAACGGG
Molecule: ribosomal RNA, 253 nt
Filed under: uncultured bacterium
Lineage: Bacteria
Description: partial 16S ribosomal RNA
Rfam family: Bacterial small subunit ribosomal RNA
Source: RNAcentral